UUAACUAUUAUAUAGUACUCAGACGACACUAAUAUUCAGAGUUUGGGGUCCUCUGGCGGGCGCAUACCAGCCGGAGCCGGUAGCCGGACCGUGAUCUGACGGCCCGCCAAAGCAACAAAGGUAAUAAUAACACAGGGUGGGAGAUCUACCCGUUAGGGCAUGAGCUCGGUAAUGAUCCCUCCGCAGGUUCACCUACGGAGA
RNAcentral lists this unclassified non-coding RNA (201 nucleotides) under uncultured fungus. RNAcentral describes it as "sequence contains ITS1". The record is from RNAcentral. Lineage: Eukaryota; Fungi.